CCUACGGCCACUUACCACUUACCAUCCAUUCUCGAUUCGACGCCACUCCGCUCUGCUUUGCCCCUUGGAAUCCCAACCGCAAUCUAGUCUUUUUCAUUUCUCCAUACAGAAUGGGACCUAUGGAACAAAAUACAAUAGCUUCCUAAUUGGUGCUUCUUCUUCAAGUCUUCUCCCUCAACAUUCCAUCCUCCUAUUGAUUAGAGAAAUGCAACUGAAAACAACUUCAAGUUGACAUAAUGGAGGUUCCACCGAGAUCUGAAGUCCCGGCUGCCUGAGCCCUCCCGCUAACGAGGACCCAAAGACUUGAGGUACCUCACAC
This is a non-coding RNA of Monodelphis domestica (gray short-tailed opossum), 319 nucleotides long. The record is from RefSeq and is a predicted model, not a curated record. NCBI's taxonomy places the organism in Eukaryota, Metazoa, Chordata, Mammalia, Didelphimorphia, Didelphidae.